Molecule: ribosomal RNA, 460 nt
Filed under: uncultured bacterium
Lineage: Bacteria
Description: partial 16S ribosomal RNA
Rfam family: Bacterial small subunit ribosomal RNA
Source: RNAcentral
CCUACGGGAGGCAGCAGUGAGGAAUAUUGGUCAAUGGGCGCGAGCCUGAACCAGCCAAGUAGCGUGAAGGAUGACUGCCCUACGGGUUGUAAACUUCUUUUAUAAAGGAAUAAAGUGAGGCACGUGUGCCUGUUUGUAUGUACUUUAUGAAUAAGGAUCGGAUAACUCCGUGCCAGCAGCCGCGGGAAUACGGAGGAUACGAGCGUUGUCCGGGUUUAUUGGGGUUAAAGGGAGCGUAGAUGGGGUGUUAAGUCAGUUGUGAAAGUUUGCGGAUCAACCGUAAAAUUGCAGUUGAUACUGGCAGUCUUGAGUACAGUUGAGGUAGGCGGAAUUCGUGGUGUAGCGGUGAAAUGCUUAGAUAUCACGAAGAACUCCGAUUGCGAAGGCAGCUUACUAAACUGCCACUGACAUUGAUGCUCGAAAGUGUGGGUAUCAAACAGGAUUAGAUACCCCUGUAGUC